AACUAACUUCUGAACUAUUAGACUAUAGAAAAUGUUCCUGUAUGUCAUUGUUUUUAACCCAAUGAUUCUUGAAGGCAACAUACAUACAGUCUUCAACUAUAACCAGGUGUUAUUACAACUGGAUCUAACUGACCUCGAGUCUUGAAUAGUAUUGUUGUGAAGGAAUUUAACAGCUAGUAGCAAAGGUCUGCUAUCAACACUCCGCUUUUCAAUUGACAAAAAAAUAAUAAGAUAUGCAUAAAAA
This 244-nucleotide long non-coding RNA is filed under the name Mytilus galloprovincialis (Mediterranean mussel). Lineage: Eukaryota; Metazoa; Mollusca; Bivalvia; Mytilida; Mytilidae. The record is from RNAcentral.